UUAUGACCAUAUCACGUUGAAUCACCAGUCCUCGUACAAAUCGCUGUAGUUAAACAACGUCGAGCCUGGUCAGUACCUAGAUGGGUGACCACUCGAGAAUACAAGGUGCUGUAA
This is a non-coding RNA of Acanthosepion pharaonis, 114 nucleotides long. NCBI's taxonomy places the organism in Eukaryota, Metazoa, Mollusca, Cephalopoda, Sepiida, Sepiidae. The record is from the annotation of a GenBank genome assembly.